RNAcentral lists this long non-coding RNA (5013 nucleotides) under Sus scrofa (pig). RNAcentral's name for it is "lncRNA (ENSSSCG00000063520.1)". The record is from RNAcentral. Lineage: Eukaryota; Metazoa; Chordata; Mammalia; Artiodactyla; Suidae.
UAGAGUCUUAGCCUGUUCAGGCUGCUAUACAAAAUACUCUACACUAAAUGGUUUGCAAACACAGUGGUUUAGUUUUUACAGCACGUGAGGCUGGAAAGUCUAAGAUCACACCGCGAACAUAUUUGGUAUCUGGUAAAUGCCCACUUCCUAGUUCACAGGUGACCACCUUCUCACUGGGUCCUCACAUGGUGGAAUGGGAAAGGGAGCUCUCUUUUUUAAGGGCAUGAAUCCCGUUCAUGUGGGCACCGCCCUCAUGACCUAAUUAUUUCCUAAAGGUCUUACCUCCUAACAUCAUCACGUUGGGGAUUAGCUUUCAACAUAUGCAUUUUGGAAGGACAUAAACUUUCAGUCUAUAGGUCUAGUGAAAUUCUUAUUUUUUUUCAAAUAUAUUCUUGAGCUACUGUAAAGCCUGGACCUCAUAAUUCCAUUAUCUAUCCCAUAUCUGCAUUUGUCAUCUAUUUUCUCUAUACAUCAGAUCUCAGAUUUUUGUGUUCUCUCCUCUGUCCUUAACUUCUCUCCAUGAUCUUGGCUCUUCAGUUCCUGGGCUCCCAUUUUUCUAUCCCCAGCCCUAUGAGACUGGAAAACUCUUUUCUACCUAUUCAUGCCCAUGUUUUCCUACGCGUCUCAGCCUUUACGUCUAUGCUGCUUGGGAAGGGCAGACAGCUCACGGGAAAAGAGAUAUAAAAAGGAGUCUCAUCUCACUGAAUGUCUCUUUCUCUUGGAAUCUUGGCUCCUUAAGUCUGGCUGUUCUGAUAUUUCUCCAAAACUUUCAAGCAGAUUUUAAAAAAGUAUUUUGUCAAGCUUGUCAAGUUGUUUUUUGGGCGGGAAACUGAUCUACACUAGACUGAAAUAGGCAGCAUUAUUUACCUCCAGUGUUCCUGGCAAAGUCACAUGACUUACUAGCUACAGAACAUCUGGAGUUGUGCAACAGUCCAAAAGCCCUUUUAGCUUCAGGGCAAAGGCAAGAAAAGCCAGCAAGAAAAGCCUGGUCAGCUGUUCUUCCAAGUCAGCCAUAAGCAAAGCUUAGAGAAAAUCAAAGCAGGUCUUGACUAUUUCAAACCCCCUAGAAAAAACAUACGCUUGAUAAAGUCUGCUCUAAGGAGCAGCUGUGAUCUAUGCAUGGGAAUUUCACAACCUCUGAAUUUUCAGAAUAUUUUUUGUCUGAUGGCUAUACUACAGAAAUACAAUAAAACAUGAGGCAAUAGCCCCUCACCUAUGGAGAGAAGUGGAGGCUGAUACGAUUAUUCUAUCAACUUGCUCUACAUCUGUGCUAUUAGUUGAAAUAUCUUAAUAAUAAAAUACCCUGCCUCUCUCCCAGAUGCAUACACUGCCCCAAAACUCUUCGAAAUUCAUGUGUAAAUUUAAAUAAAUGGUACAUCAAGAGAAAUACCACAAACACUAAUUUGAAAAGAUACAGGCACCCCAAUGUUCACAGCAGCAGUAUUUAUAAAAGCCAAGAUGUGGAAGCAUCACAAGUGCCCAUCAACAGAUGAAUGGAUAAAGAAGAUGUGCUUCAUAUAUGCACAAUGGAAUAUUUCCCAGCCGUAAAAAGAAUGAAAUUCUGCUAUUUACAGCAAUGUGGAUGGAUCUACUGUAUAAUAUACUCAGUGAAAUAAGACAGAGAAAAACAAAUGGUGUAUGAUAUCAUUUAUAUGUGGGAUAUGAAAAAAUUAUAGAAAUGAAUGUGUAGGUAAAACAAAAACAGACUCACAGAUAUAGAAAACAAACUUACAGUUACCAAAGGGGAGAGAGAAAGGGGAGAGGGACAAAUUAGGGAUAUGAGAUUAACAGAUACGCACUACUAUAUAUAAAGUAGAUAGACAACAAGGAUAUUUUGUAUAGCACAGGGAAUUUUAGUCAUUAUCUUGUAAUAACUUAUAAUGGAGUAUAAUUUUCAAAAAUACUGAAUCACUAUUCUGUACACCUGGAACUAAUAUAAUAUUGUGAAUCAAUUAUACUUCAAUGAAAAAAAGAGAGAAAUACCACAAAUGUGCGUUUCAACUUUAAUUGGUCUAGAAUACUGCAAGAAUCACUUUUUAAAUUCUGAGGUUUCAGGGCUUUUUUUUUUUUAAUAAAAUGGAAUUUGAAUGACUAAAAAUGUAUAAUUAACAAAAUAGUUGAUUAAUUACUGUAAUAAAUCAGAGUAAUAGAAAAUAAGUUUAAUAAAGACAAAUAUGGUUCACUCAUUUUCCUUCCGUUAGAAUGAAUUCCAUCUCUUAUUACCUUAAAUAAAUAUAUUCUAACAUCUAGAUUUUUUUUUUUGUUUGGCUGGAUUCUUGAGGAUAACCUCAAAAUCCUUAGAAAAAGAAAAUAAACAGCAAAAACAAAAUUUAAAACACUGUUAACCUUUUAUCCAUCAAAUAUAGUUUGAAAUAAAGAUUUACCAACAUUUCAGUGUCCACUGUUUACAUAAAAACUGUACUAGAAUGCAUUUCUGCCCAGGUAAUUUGAGUCUUUCUUUUUAAAAGUCAUCUUAUUUUAAUUGUGGUAGAGGAUUUUACUAUUUAAACACUCCUGAAAUAAAUGCACAAGGAAAAAGAAUUUCUUUGUUAAAAUCAGCUCUUCCUUUUCAUUUAUGUUUUUUUUUUCCAAGUUUGGAAUAUCCAUUAAUAAAAUUAAAAAAAAUAAAUCUGAGCUAUUUUUGAGCAAGUAUAAAUUAUAAGUAAUUUUGACACCCUAUUCAAGAAAAUUGAAUUAUAUUUGAGGUACUACGACAGAUUUUGAAAACACAGAGCCUUUGACAUUAAUAAAUGCAUAUUUACCUAAUUUAACAUUUAUGGGUUGGUUGUCAAGAGAGCUACCUUCUAGCAGGGACAUCUGUCUCUCAGUGGUCUCAAGAGACCACCUUCAAUACUCAAUAUUUUUCCCUUACAGGUGGCAGUAAUGGGAAUUCAUUUUUAGUCAUAAGGUUAAACAUAGUCCUAUGAGUUCUGUAAGUUCCCAUUCUAUUUAUUUGCUUUCCUUUGGUAGUUGUCUAAAGCCAGACCCCUGCAGGUUUUAUUUUGCUCAGAAAUGUUUAAGCCAGACUGCCAAACACCUCUUCCUGCAGCUUUUGAAAAACCAUUUCUCAGAUGUAUAGGAAUUCUUAUUUGUCAGAAAUCUGCAUGAAUCUAAAAUUAAACACAACAACAGCAAUUCAUGUUGAAAAGAAUUUAUAAAGAAGGAAACCAUGGCAACGGAAUCAUUUAUUUUUAAAUCGCACCAAUCCUUAUCUCCACCUUCAACUCCAAACUAAGCACAUUUAACCCAUAGCUUUUUCCAUGCUGCUUUAUUCCCAUUGUAAUUCAACAAGCGUCAAAAAUAGCCAUAGGAAUUGUCAUAUUUAUAUUACGAAGGACAGUGCUAGCCAGGCUUCUCCGUGUUUGCUCACUCACAUUAUCCUGCAAAUGGCCUUGGAGGAACUUGCAUGGUUGUUAAGGGGAAGCUCAGGUAAUGCAUCCUUCAGGAUCAACACCUCUGUUAAUGCCAAGGACAGGCUCUCUAGUGGGAAGAUUAGAGUCCCGAUCUAAUUACUCAAGGAUUCCACAUCUUAUCAGAGUUGAGCUGACCACGAUGGGCAAGGGCAGAUGUAACUGCAGCAAAUUCCAACACAAUUUCCCUUGACUCAUAGGGACCAUGCCUCUGCAUGGUAUCUAGCCAGCUCUGAUUUUGCUAUACCAUUGCCUGUAAUAGCACUGUCCAACGUUACAUCAGGCCAGGAGGACCUACAGUGUAUGUGCUUUCUUUAAGCAACAGAUUACAAACUCUAGGCAAAGAAUCUUGUUAAAAAGUCUUAAGAGUGCUCAUCAGAAAUUGUCAGUGCUUGAUACCACUGGAAAACAUAAGCAUACUUUCCUAUGAAUAAUUUCAGAGGCAACACACUUUCCAGACCGGGAGGUAUUUGAAAAUCUACUAGCCCCUUUUAAUAAAUAUCAGCUGAUACAGGAUUUGGUAUUAGGAAUGUGUCUUUUCUAAUUCCUUUGUCUACACUGAUUUCUGGUAGUUCUGCUACAUGAAGAGCUUAGGCUGCCCGAAGAUAAGGGUUCAUUCCUUAUUGAUUCAGUUGAGCUAUUCACCCUAGAAGAGCCCUGAGAGAAAAUGCAGACAUUCGUUUUAAAGAUCAAAGCCGUGGGUAAUAGAAAUAGGCACAGGGUUAUAUUUGAAGCCAUGAAGGGCAUUAACCCAAUAAGCCAAUUGAAUCACAUGGAAAAUUGAUCUUAUAUUUUCUGAAAUAAAUCAACAAUCUGAGGGUUAAAAGGAUGCAGGCCCACUAUCUGUGAUCCACAGUCAGAGUUCAAUCAGAGCCUGCAGGAAGGCUUUGUCUCAUGAUACACUCCAAACAACAAGAGGAAUGCAGAGGCACCAGCCCCUUAUCCUUCAUUCUAACUUGCACCUUAUUUAGCCUACUUGUUUCUGGGGCCCAUUUACCAGGCUUUCCCUCCAUCAGGUUGGUCUUUAGGUCAAUUUGCCUGGCUUUGUUUCACUAAAGGCUUUCUGGGUAUGAAUGAACCAAAGGUUAUCAGGUAUAUUUGCACAAAAGUUUGGCAAAUUCUCACAGAGAUACUCAAUGAAAAGAAUGAACCUUUACCAAUGGCAUGAAGUGCUUGGGUUUUUCUGAAGUAAGGAAAAUAAGAAAAAACAUUGUUCAGAAUUAUUUCUUUGAAAUCAGACAAAGCCCAAGUAUAUGGUUUUUCAGCUUCAGUACAGAGAAACAAAACCUUUCUCUUUGGAGGGAUUAUGAGCAGAAAAGCAUGAAUUUUAUGCAGUCAUCUAUUUUCCGCUGCAGCUACUCUAUAUCUGUGAUUGCUUCUUUGUCUCCAAUACUUUCCAUUUUUAGUAGUAGCUCUGAGAAUUUAUUCAGCAAAUAUUUAUUUGGCUCCUACAAAGUCUGAGCCACUGCCCAUGAUAAAUGGCAGGUGUAGAGUCGGGCUGCAGAAGCACAGAAACACGAGGGAAUCCAGGUGUAAAUAAGGUCUAGAAUAGCUAUCUCUCACCAUCCCAGAGAGACACGCAAAAAGAGAGGGGCUUAUUCAG